Molecule: RNA transcript, 7895 nt
Organism: Alligator sinensis (Chinese alligator)
Lineage: Eukaryota; Metazoa; Chordata; Crocodylia; Alligatoridae
Gene: HIBCH
Gene name: 3-hydroxyisobutyryl-CoA hydrolase
Exons: 15
Source: RefSeq, a predicted model, not a curated record
CUGAAAGCGACGAGUACUUCCGCUCCGCCCGUUGGCCCUUCCGGUCUCCUCAGUGUCGUAGGGCGGUGACGUGAUCCGGUUGCGCCGAGCGGGAUGGUGCUGCAGUUGACCUGGCCGAUCCCCAGGCUGAAAUCAUUCCACAGGUUACAAAUAAUACUACAGCACUUGCGUAUGUCCAAACACACAGAUUCUGUGCAUGAAGUAUUGCUGGAAAAGAAAGGAUGUGCUGGAAUAAUAACUAUGAAUAGGCCAAAGGCUCUAAAUGCAUUAAAUCUUCCCAUGAUUCAACAGAUUUAUCCGCAGUUAAAGACAUGGGAAGCAGACCCUGAAACCUUUCUAAUCCUUAUUAAGGGAACUGGAGGAAAGGCUUUUUGUGCUGGUGGCGAUAUCAGAGCUAUCACAGAUGCUGGAAAAGCUGGGGGUAGGCUGGCACAAGAUUUCUUCAGAGAGGAAUACAUCCUGAACAAUGCCAUCGGUACUUGUCAGAAACCAUACGUGGCCCUUAUUGAUGGUAUUACAAUGGGAGGGGGUGUUGGUCUGUCAGUCCAUGGACAUUUCAGGGUAGCUACUGAGAAGACACUUUUUGCAAUGCCAGAGACCGCAAUAGGCCUUUUCCCUGAUGUAGGCGGAGGCUAUUUCUUGCCAAGACUUUCAGGGAGGAUUGGCUAUUACCUUGCUCUUACAGGAUUUCGGUUAAAAGGAAGAGAUGUGCAAAAAGCAGGAAUUGCUACACACUUUGUAGAAUCAGAAAAGCUGCCCGCUCUGGAAAGAGAUUUGACAGCACUGAAAUCACCUUCAAAAGAAAAUGUUGCAGAACUAUUGAACUCCUAUCAUGUAAAGUGCAAAAUUGACCAGGAAAAGCAAUUCAUACUUGAUGAACACAUGGAGAAGAUUAACAGUAUGUUUUCAGCAAGCAGCAUGGAAGAAAUCAUGCAGAAUUUGAAGAAGGAUGGUGGUCCUUUUGCUCUUAAGCAGCUAGAGACCAUUAGUAAAAUGUCACCAACAUCCUUAAAGAUGACUUUCAGACAGCUUCAAGAAGGGGCUUCCAUGGACCUGCAAGAUGUUCUAACAAUGGAAUACAGACUGAGCCAGGCAUGCAUGAGGGGCCAUGACUUCUAUGAAGGUGUUCGAGCAGUGCUGAUUGACAAAGACCAAGCCCCAAAGUGGAAGCCAGCUACCUUAGAAGAAGUAACAGAUGAAGUUUUGGACAGUUGCUUUAAGUCACUGGGAAGCAACGAUCUCAAGUUAUAAUGGAGCUGGAGAAACCUCUGGAAGUUUUAUUCAUCUGAUUUAAUAUUAGGAUAUAAAAAAGAAUAGUGGUGCAAAGAUUUUGGAGGAGGAGUUUAGUGAACUCCCCCUGGUUUUUGGUGCCAGUGGAAUAAUGUCUUUCUGAUGAGAACCGAGGCGUAAAUUCACUGCUGAUGUCAGAGGGUGAAGCUCUGUUGGCUUCAAUGGUGUAGGGAUGAGGUUGGUCCCAAGACUAUAGCAGAUGGUUGGAGUUUAGGUAACCAGAAAGUGGAAAGACAUCACAUGGAUGAAUUCAGGUUUCGUUUUUAUAGGUAUGGACAGCCCCCAUACAGUGUAACCAUGGCAUUCUAAUACAAGCAGCUGAGGGCAGGAUUUGUGGAAACUAAAAGGAAAUAUACUGUGUGUACUGUGAGUUUGGAACAGGCCAAGCAGAGGGACUGAAGAAUUCAGAUACCUGAAAUCUCUGGGGUGGGGGUAAGGGAGCAGUAUAUGGUAUUUGAAGCCCAGAAAUCGCUUCCAGUACUUAAGAAAGAAGUUCCAGCUGCAAAAUAGGUCUGUUCAUAUUCUACAUGCAAGCUCUGCUAAAUUCCCUGCUUGAAGUCUCGCUCCCUCUACUACUUGGCUCUGUUCCUUGGGCUGGGUGCAGAGGAGAUGAUUUGGGGCUAUACUAUAAGUACAAAACUAGUAAUGGUAGGAAGAACCAAUUAUUUACAUGAGCUUGUUAGCUGGCCCCUGUGGCCAGUGCACUUGCAGUUAGUAGUGUAACUUUUAAGUUAAAUAUAUAACUGGAAAGAAGCUAAGCUUGGUGAUUGAAAACUCCCAAGGAAAAUGUUAAAAUAUUGCUGCUGUCCAGCUGGUCUUGCAGUUAGCAUGUACAUUUAUUUACAGAAGCUGAACUGGGGCACUUUUCUGAACCCUAGAUUUAAGAACGACUAGAAAACUGCAGUCAAUAUUGUGAAAAGUUGAUGCUGAGUUAGCUUUUAACACCUGGAGCUCAGAUCUGAAGAAGAAUUGAUUGCAUUCAAAAGCUUGCUUAAGUCUACCCAAAGCAUGCAGUUGGUCCAGUAAAAAAUAUCACCCAAACAGAUCCUUGCCUUUUCCCCCCUGAUAACAUGGACAGGGGAGCAGGAAGAGAGAACAGAACCUGCAUUUUAAACCAGCUGCUGAACGUAUCUUCAAACAUGUCUGAAAAGCUGCUGCUCCACCUGAGGCUGGUGAUGAUGAUAAUGCCCUGAAGUUCCACAGUGCAACGAGAUCCCCUUGAUACCAUCCCAACUUUAUUAUGUAAAAUUAUCAUCUCUACUAUUCUGUAUGUCACACAUGAUCACUGGUCUAUGUACUGCAUGUUCAACACGAAGACUGAAUGCUUUUUACAGUUAGUUUGAAAAGCUAAAUUUCAGUGGCUCUUUCCAGUUGUUUCUAUGGCAACAGACAAUGAGGUCACACAUGUAGGAUUUUGAGUUCUCUGCAGACUAGUGAAGAGUAGGAUAUGAGAUGAAAGGGUGAAAGCUUUUGUUCAGAUAGAAACAUGUUCAGUAAUUCGCACUGGCAAAAGGGAAAAAAAAGAAUAGAAUGACAGAGUGGAAAGACGGAAGAAGUGUUUGUAACGCUCUCGAAGGUGGUGUGCAGCAGUGACUAGAAUGCAGUAUAUUAUUCAGUGUUCCUUCUGCCCUAGGAUUUAUAGGUACUGGUAAUAAAGCAGACACUGGUUGAACCACAAUAUCUUUAUUUAAAUAAAGUAGAGGAGAGCAAGCCUGAGAAACACUGGAAACUCAGCUCCUCUUUUCAGAGACCUGGAAUCUUUGGUAAAAUUUUUAUCCAGCUGCUUUUUAAUGUGACCACAUAUAUUUUAGAUACUAAUAACAAAUAGCCUCAGCAGUAUUGAUACACCAAUGAGUCAUUUGUGACAAAAGGACUUAAGCUUCUAAAACAAAUAUCUGUUUGAAAAAUUUACUCUUUUAAAUUUAGCACUAUUUAAAAUAGUAUAACCUGGGAAGCAUCCAGGGAACUUCUUUUCUUUUUUUUUUCCAGCAAAAUUUUUGCUCCCUAUACUCCUCUGGGUGCUUAGUAACCCAAGUCAAGAACAUCAGUUCCUUGGGUCAGGGAUUGUGCCUUCUCUGUUUGUCAAGUGCCUGGCAUGCUAAUGUAAUUGCAAGGGUUUAUAUGGAAGUUAAGUAUAAUGCACUGUGUAUUUUAAUUGAAUAAAAACCUUACAGCAAUUAAUUGCAACUUAAUUUUAUUCAGUUUAAAAAGAAAGUUUUUUUUUUUCCCACAAAAAUAUUGUAAAAAUAUAUUGUAAUGUGCUACAGUUGGGGACUCAGUCCUGUAUGGCUGCUGAAGUGUCACUUUUACAAAGUUGUGCUGUAGUGAACAUUCUUGAACCAUCAUUAGAGUAUCAGGCAAGGCAGAUAACAUCCAUUUAGACUAUAUUUAGUGAGGUGUCACCUAUCCUGUUCUAUGGGACAAGGUAAUGGAGCUGGAAAUGCAUUUUUAGAAAGAAUGUGCUAAUGUCAGAUGAAAAGCAAAACAAGUUCAAUUCUUGAACCAAUGAUGCAGCUGUAUUUUUAAACUGUAGUAUUGUUUUUAUUACAAUCAAUAGACAACUAUUUCAGUUGAGAUGUAAUUUUAUUUUGGUAAAGACUUUUGUCUUCAUCCUUCCCAGAAAUACUUCAGAAUUUAGAAUAGUGUAGUAUUGUCUGUUUUAAGGGUAGAGGCAUUUGGGAAGAAGUGUCCUGUUGUCUGGCUCUUAUACUCCUUACUGCUGUCUCUGUUGCUCCUGAAAUUGUGUUUUCCCAUCUGCUGUGUGCUUGCCUAAAGUGUUACCAUCCAAGGAAGUGUCACUUCUGUUAGACAGCUGGUCUAGCAGUCUAGGGUGUAUUAAAGCUGCUGUAAACUGGCAGGCAGUAGUGGGAGCAGACAAGGUUUGAACACCUGAGCUAAGAGAUUUCAGUCUGGAAAGGACUUUGUAGUGCAAGAUGAUUUUAGUAGGGUCUACACUGUAGGUGGCAGCCAUGAGGCUGACUGCUGUAUGCCAUAGCUCAUUGUCAUGUACCGUUUACUUACAGCUACAUAACUUUCUCUUUUUGUUUCUUGCAUAUUUAAUGUUGUUCUUGGUGAGUGGUGUGGGUGCUGUGACUCAGCCGCAAGUUAGUUUCAUCUACCUAAUGUAGAACAUGUCUGCUGCUAAAAUGCAUCCUUACUAGAAAGAUGGAGAUGGAGAGUCUGAUUUCAGAUAAGCAUCUGCUGCCUUAGCUCAAGUAAGUGCUGGGCACCAUGGCCUAGAUCCACUACAGGACUUAGAUGUCAAAACGCUGAACAUCGCAGCACCUGGUCUUUUAGGUGCCUAGCUAGGUAAUGGAAUCUGCAUCCCCAGUUAAUCACUGUGGUUCCCUGUACAGUGCACGCACAAACCUAUGCAUCUAAGUAUGAGGUCCCACUGACUCCACAAAGUAUGAUAGGGGGCCCAAACCCCAGCCCUUCCAGGGACUUGGGCCUUGGCUACAUGGUAAACUUAAUGUCUGAAUGUGGGACCCUCAAAUGCACUGCUUUGUGUGGGCUACUCCCUAAACCUGAAGCAGCAUAGCUAUGUCUAUGUGGUGCUGUGGCAGGUCAAGUAGUCCUGUUACUCAGCAGUACUAAUGAGCCCGUCCAAAAGGGCUUCACUGCUUCCCUUGAACAGUUUCGAGCAGAACAGCAGGCUGAGGAUGCAGCUGCCAGGCACAGUGAGCUGCCUGUGCAGCAUGGUCUUUGGCACUUGCAGGGAAGUGCCUUCUUCCAUUCAUGCUUUGCAACUCUGAACUCUCUUCAGGAGGUAAGGAUCUAAGUUCCCUCACAAAAUGGAGCCUGUAGGUUUAGAGCAUUCCCCAAAGAUGUAGGAGAGCAUUUGCUUCUCCCUCUAUUUGGGAGGGUGGCAGAAUCAAAGCAUUACAUUUUUCUCAGUGAGGGCUGUUCAGCUGCAAGAAGUCCCAAGGAUUUUAUGCUGUAAUUAUUGUGCACUCCUUUCCAUCACCUUGCUCUUUACACUAUUUGGCCUUGGAGUAAACCUGACGUGUCUGCUUUUAUAGAUCAGCUCAUUGACCAAGAAGCCCUGUAAAAUAGCUGAGCAGUCAAGUGCCUGGAGCUCCCUUUGUGGGUUAGAGAGUGGCUUCUAAGAAGGAACAUGAAAAGAAUCCCUUUCUCCCACUCUGCUCAUUGCUGUAGGGAUUACUAGAAGCAGACAUGAAAUGUCCAGUAUAUACUGAUCUAUAAAUGAAGGCAAUAUUAUCAGCUGGAGUGUUUUUGUAACAAGUCGGGCAGCUAUUCAAGCAGGAAAUGGAAAGAAUGUGUGUUUAACACAGCUUGGAACCAGGUUGCGUAUACACAUCAUCUCUAGUUUAAACGGACAUUAAUGCCUAUCUAUUUUGCUGUGAAAAGGGGAGAUUAACUUAAUUUAAAGUCUGUAAUUUACACUCACAAACGUGAUCUUGUUCCCAAAACAUAUUUGAACUGUAAUCUGAAAGCGCCCAUUCAGUCAGCUGCUGUGUUCCUUAAACCAUACUGCUGAUAAUUCCAGAUUGUGGUAAAGUGGGUUUUUUAAAUGUUGCUUCUGCCCUUCAGAAUGCAGGCCCCUGUCUAUCUGAUGAGCAGUGACCAUGCAGUCCAGUUGUUAUACAUUUUUUAAAAAUAAUUACUUCUACAGCAGGGAGCUUACCACAGUACUGUUUCCAUUUACUUUUAAUGCUGUAGGGCAAAUUAUUUGAAGUGUUCUUUGAUGUUUAGGAAGAAAUAUCCCUUUUUAGACUAGAUUAACUAGUUAAGUCACAGCAAAGUGGAUUCAUUCGAGUUGUUCAAUGACGUCCAUCUCGGCGUUUGGAAUUGCCUCUUUCCAGGGUGCUCUCAGAUUUUCAUUACUAAGUAUACUCUACUCCUCCAGAGUUUUAGGGAGACCUUGUAGCCAAUUAAAAUGCCACUGCUAUUGUGGGUUUGGUUUACAUUUACCACUCACUAUUUUAUCUCCUCUUCCCUUUUCAGCAAAUACUUGAGAGAGUUUUCUGAAGAUCAGCCGAUCUAACAGUAUGAAUAGGAGACUUCUGUCUCAAGGUAGCCUUAUGCUGUGUGAACUGCAAGCGUUCAUCAUGAUGAAAUUUAAUUCUGAUAGGUUGUUUGCCUGCAUGAACUGAACCAAACCAAAGAACUUAAGUUGCCAUUAUCACUUAUCUUUGCAAUCAGCCAUUUUUCUCCUUUAUGUAAUGGACAGAUAAGCUUAAUCAGUUGUAUUCAAAACAGAACAAAAAGCUGGAAAUGGUUUGACUGAGUUAAGCUACAGUGGAACAGGAGAAACAGCACCACUGCUUCAUGUAACAGUGCCUAGUCGCUUACUCCCAGAGGAAGAAGAAACAGUCCAGAAAGACUAAGGUCCUAAAUGGAAUUACAGUGAGAUAAAAUGUUGGACCCAUUGGCUUUUUAGAUGAUAUUCUGUCAGUUCCUGCCUUCAGGAUUCUUUCUUGCUUAAUAUCUGGGCUCACUGUUACCUGGAGUAAGUUGGACUACAGAUUCUAUUGAAACUGAAUAUACUAUAUACUUUAGUGCUGAACUAGAUGAGGGGAAAAAAAAAUCUCUGGACUUUACCCUUCAGCCUUGAGCUCAGUCAUGCUUUUUUUGCAUAUUAACUGUGUCACUGCAUCACAGUAUGAAGUGGCCAUACACAGUUUUUCUAACAAGAAUGAUAGCACCUCCUACUAGCAGGAGAGAGGCUUUAGUGCACACCAUUUGGAACAGUCUUUUACUAAUGUCAUGCUAGAAUGACAUUUCACUGUAAUACAGCAUAGUAUUAUGAGAUGAAAGGUCCAGAACAUGUAUUGUUUAUAGUCCACCCACACUGGUCCACAGAUAAUGAUCAUUUGUAAGCAAUUGCCAUGAUCAUGAGUAAGGCAGUUGAAUUCAUAAACUUAGUGAACAGCCUUCACUCACUUCGCAGAAGUCAAGGCAUUUCAAAUGGUAAAUGAUAAUUAGGUUAUCAUCAUCUUUAAUACGUUUCUUGUUGACGUGCUGAGAAGGGCAGACUUCAUGGCAGUAUAAUGCACGCAGUUUUCUUGCUAUUUUUCAUUGUUAUGUAACACCUUGCCUUGGUUCAGUUGUUAUUUUUCACAUGUUUAGGCAGGCCAUAAGGAUCAAGGUCAUUCAUAAUUUAUCUAUGUAAUAGCUCUAAACCCCCAGAGCUUAAUUAGAUUUACUUUUAUAAAGCAAUUCUGUCCUCACUUAAGACCCAGCAGAUGCAAGGACUACCUGAUUAUAAAAGUAGUUUUUAUGCAGCACAAGACCAAUUUGUACCUUAUCCAUGAAGAUCUUUGGUGCUGCAGCAAGGACAUGAUAAUGCAGGUGCUGGGCAGCUGGGUUUUUUGUGUAUCCCCUUUCCUGACAUUAAAUUAGAAUCAGACUCCACACAUACCAAGCAGCCAGAACAGUCACCAGAUGGCCAAUUGCAACUGACAUUUGAUUUAACAUAUUCUACUGCAGUUCAGUUGCUCUUGAUCUCUUAACAAUAUAAGAGGCAUUCUAUGCACCCUGCCCUUCCAGAAACAUUCAUACAGUUGUAGUUUUUCUUAAAUUAUAUCUGCUUUUACUGGAAAUUUAUUUGUGAAUUGCUUCGCAGGACAUCAAAAUGAGAA